Molecule: small nucleolar RNA, 124 nt
Organism: Alosa sapidissima (American shad)
Lineage: Eukaryota; Metazoa; Chordata; Actinopteri; Clupeiformes; Clupeidae
Source: RefSeq, a predicted model, not a curated record
AUACGGCUUCACAGAGGUCCCUGCUGCCCAGAUAUGACAGCUGUGGUCUAAGAGGAGCCUAAAUAAACACUUUUCCUGACAGCCGCUGGUCAGUUCGUUGACCCAGUGACAGAAAAGGAGGACG